This 6090-nucleotide long non-coding RNA is filed under the name Sus scrofa (pig). Its description in RNAcentral is "lncRNA (ENSSSCG00005016604.1)". Lineage: Eukaryota; Metazoa; Chordata; Mammalia; Artiodactyla; Suidae. The record is from RNAcentral.
AACGAAUCCAUCUAGGAACCAUGAGGUUGCGGGUUCGAUCCCUGGCCUCGCUCAGUGGGUUAAGGACCUGGCGUUGCCGUGAGCUGUGGUGUAGGUCGCAGACACGGCUUGGAUCUGGCGUUGCUGUGGCUCUGGCGUAGGCCGGCAGCUGUAGCUCCCAUUAGACCCCUAGCCUGGGAACCUCCAUCUGCCGCGGGUACAGCCCUAGAAAAAGCAGAAAGACCAAAAAAAUAAAAAAUAAACAGUUUCUUCUUGCUUUACGUUAUCCAUUAUUUGAGCUGUUAAGACGAGGCAGGAUUUUAAGAUAAUUUUUCAUAUAGAAAAACAUCUGUGGAACUUAGAACCCACGGAUGCUUUCAUUAGAGGUGUCAUUACAGGUGUGAAUCAGACAUCCCUUGAAUAGAGGGGCAUUUGAGGUGAGCUCUGGCUGUCCCAAAUUCUUAGGUUUACUCUUGGCACGACUGGCUGUGAACCCCUUGUACUGAUACUUAAAAUAUAUGUGCUAUUUCCAGGUGCUACAUGUUACUCAAAAACAAAUCACUCCUAGGUGAUUAAAUCUCUUUUCCACAGCUAAUAUUAAAACACUAUCCUCUGUCCUGCAUGCAGUCCCCUGCUGGAAGUUUCUGGUUUGACUGCCUGAAUGCUCUGUGGUCUAAAUAUAGCCAUUUAAAAAGAAGAUUAUGGCACGUCCACUUGGGACUGCUAAAAAGCCUUUCACGGUAACUCUUGAAAGCCUGAUGCCUUUAAUCCUUAACUUUAAUUUAAAAUAAAGAAAUCUUCUCAACUCGUAUUCCAUUUUCCAUAUUCUCUCCCCCCACCCUUGUCCUCUCCUACAAAUCUUUUAAUUGCACCCCCCCCCCCAGUAGUGAGGAAUGAGACUCUUUACAAGUAGCUUCUGGAGCAAGAAUGGGCUUAGCUGUUUUAAUUUCUUGUGAGGAUGUUUUUAUAGAAGAAAAUCAAGUCAACACUCCAGAGUAUAUGCAGCCCUUUACCGAGAUGGGGAGAAUUAAUCAGGCCAGAAAGUGUGGAAUAUAAAAAGGGAGGGGGGACAGGAAGGAUGUUUUAUCAAACCUAACUGCUCAGGGAGAUGCAAAGAUAAAAGGAUUUCCCUCUCCUAGUGCCUUAAAUAUUGGCAGCCAGUGGGGUCAAGAUUUUUUCUUUUGUUGUUAUGGAAAGCCAUACAGAUAAUUAAUGCUGUUGAAAGAAGAUUGUUCAGUUGGCGUCUGCGAGGCUGACCCCCCAGUCUGGGAUCUUCUGGAAAGAAACAAGUCAGGGAAAAAGUUAUGCACCGGGGGAUCCUGCCAAUUUACACCAGCAAUAAAUAACGUCCGGAGAGCAAACAGCCACUGGCUAGUUCCUUGUGGCUGCAGAUGUUUGAUAUGGGGACACAAGUCAAUGCAUGCAGUGACCUUUAAAUGGGGUGAAAGACCCAUCAACCCACCCUCACCCCACCCCACCACCCCAGACCUCUUCUUUUAAACAAUAAUUGUUAAAGACAGGAGGUUGCAGCAGUAACCUAGGAAGGUUAUGCAUUGGCUUUGAUACUUACAGUUUUAUUUCUUCCUAGAUAGAUGCCUCUGCUUUAAUUUAAUGGGCAGGAAAUGUUUGAUUCCUUCCAUGAAUGUCAGAUGUAGCCAUGGGAUCUAGGAGUCCUGGCCAGCCCUGCUGGAUCCCCAGCAGGCUUUUGUGACUCUGGCUGACCCAAUCCUGAAGGAACUAAGGAAACUCAGCAUCCCCAGAGUGAUAGCAAGAUUAAUAUUUACCACUUAGGAUAUGCCAGAUCUUGUGUACUUUCUAUACCUUAGCUCAUUUAACCCUCAUAAAGAGAGUCCUAUGUUCCCGUUUUACAGAUAAGGGAACUGAGGCUAAGGGGGUGAAGUUCACACAGCUAGCAAAUGUCAGACUGGGAUUUGAACCUGAACAGUCUGGCCUCCAGUCAACAUUGAAAAAAAAAAAUCAAGUGAAAUUCAUAUAACAUAAAAUUAACCAUUUAAAAAUGGACAAUUCAGUAGCGUUUAAUACAUUCACAGUGUUAUACAACACCACCAUCUCUAUCUGGUUCCAAAAUGUUCUCAUCACUCCGAAAGGAAACCCUGUACCCACUGAUAGUCUCUCCCCAUUUCCCUUCCCCCCAGACCCUGGCAACCACCAGUCUACUUUCUAUCUCUGUGGAUUCACUUAUUCUGGACAUUUCCUAUACACGGAAUCGUACAGUACGUGGCUUUUUGUGUCUGGCUUCUUCCAUUUGGCGUAAUGUUUUCAAGGUUCAUCUGUGUUGUAGCACAUGUCAGUGCUUCAUUCCUUUUAUGGCUGAAUCAUGUUGCAUUGCAUGAAUAGACCACAUUUUAUUUAUCCAUUCAUCUGCUGAUAGACAUUUACAUUGUUUCUUCCUUUUGGCUAUCUGGAAUAGUGCUGCUCAUACACAUUCAUAUGCAUGUAUUUAUUUGAACACCUGUUUUCAGUUCUUUGAGGUCUGUAUCUAGGAGUGGAAUUGCUGGGUCAUAUGGGAAUUCUGUUUAACUUUUCGAGGAACUGCCAGCUUGUUCAGAGUUGACACUUAACCCCACACUACCAUAACUGGAUCCCCCAGUGCCUCUCAGGUUGUGCUGUGUGUUUGGAAGGGAGCUAAGUUGUUGCCAUGUCUUGGGGCAUUUCCAGCUUUUGGUCCUGAUUGCAAGGAACAUUCAUUCAUUCAUUCAGCAAAUGUAUUUUGGUGUACUAGUUUUAUGGCAGACACUGUGCCAGAUGCUCGAGGUGCAUUGGUGAACACAUUCAUGGUCCCUGCAUUUAGGCCUCAUAGUCUGGAGGGGAGGGGACUUGAGAAGCAGGAACGGAAAACUCAAAUUCCUGCAGGUGCCUGGUGGGUAGGAUUAAUGAGGGAGGCAGAGCAGAUGCCAGGCUAUAGGGGGUGGUGGAAACUGUGGCUAACUAGAGAGUGGAUGCCCAGUCUCAGAGUUCUAAAUGAUGAUGAUUGCCAGGCAGGAGUGCAAGCACAGUAUGAUCAGAACUUCGUAUUUUUAAAAAGAAACUGGAAUUUUGAAUAUUUGUAUAAAUCCAUGACAUUUAAGAUAUAGUAUGACCUAAACAAAACACACCUACAAAGGGCAAAUGAACCAGGUUAUGAAUUGUUUUAGUCAUGGUUCUCCAGAGAAGCAAAAUCAACAGAAUUGCAUGGGUGUGUUGAGUAAAGAGAUUUGUUAUAAGAAGUUGGCUCGCAUGAUUAAGGAGGCUAAGUCUCAAGAUCUGCAGUUGGCAAGCAGAAUAGCCAGUGCUUUAAGUUCUAGUCUGAAAGCUGGCAGUCUAAGACCCAAGAAGAACUGAUGUUCCAAUUCAAAUCCAAAAGCAGGAAAAAAUUUUAAAAAUAUAAAAACAAUGUCCCAUCUCAAUAGUCAGGCAGGAGGAUUUUGCCUUUACUAGGAGGAUCAGCCUCUUAUUCUAUUCAGGCUUUCAACUGACUAGAUGGGGUCACUCACACUCAGGAGAGAAGUCUGCUUCACUCAGUUUAUCAGUUGAAAUGACAGUCUCAUCCCCAAGCACCCUCACAAUUACUGACCAAAUAUCUGGGCACCCUGUGGCCCAGUCAAGUUGACACAUAAAAUUAACCAUCACCCGUCCACCCCGUCAAUUUGACAUGCAUGUAUCUCUCCUUAAACCACACUUAAUCUCUAGAUAGAGAUGAUACAGGGUCACAAUUCCAACUAACACAACACAGCUAUGCUCUAAACAACCAGCAAUUCACUAACCCCCUCCCCAGAAAUGGGGAUAAAGUCCCCGACUGAUGUUAACUCUUCUUUUGUUCUGGGUCCCACUCAGCACCAGCAGCUUUUCAGGUCACUUGGUAAAUGGGCUGAGUAACAUGCCUGAAUGAGGACUAUGCGCCUCCAGAAUCUGAAGAGAUCCAUUAGGUGUCGUGCCUGUUUUUUGGGUUGUAGGAGGGGCCAAAUCCAACAACUUAUCCUUCACCUUAGAAGAAUUAUCUCAACAUGCCUCCAUACCACUGGACCCCUGGAAGUUUCACUGAGGUAAGAGUCCCCUGAAUUUUUGUCAGAUUUAUUUCCCACCCUCUGACACAUAAGUCUGACUAAUGAAAGCCUAGACUUCCUAGGUCCAGUCAGCAUAUGUCAUCACCGUAAUGGACCAAUGUGAAGUUUUAAGGGAAAGAAAGAUAAUCAGAAUCCCUGUGAACUCAAUUAAGAUGUAGGGCUAGAGAGUUGAUUUACCCCUGAGCUAGAACAGUAAAGGUGUAUUGCUGGCCUUUCCAGCCAAAAGCAAACUGCUUCUGGUGGACCUUAUUGACAGGUAUGGAGAAAAAAAAUCAUUUGCCAAAUCAAUAGCUGCAUAUGAGGGACUAGGGGAUGUGUUGAUUUGCUCAGACAAUGAAACCACAUCUGGUACAGCAGCUGCAAUUAGAGUCACCGCCUGGUUAAGCUUACGAUAAUCCACUAUCGUUCUCCGUGAUCCAUCUGCCUUCUGCGUAAGCCAUGUAGGCAUAAUGAAUGGGGACCCGCUGGCAGUCACCACCCCUGCAUCUUUCAAGUCCUUGGUGAUGGCACCCAUCUCUGCAGUCCCUCCAGAAAAGCAGUUAUUACUUUUGGUUUACUAUUUUCUAGAUAGAGGCAGUUCUAGUGGCUUUGGUUUGACCUUUCCCACCAUAAGUGCCCUCACUCACAGGUCAGGGAGCCAGUGUGGGGAUUCUGCCAGCUGUUGAGUGUAUAUAUUCCCAUUAUGUGUUCUGGGACUGGGGAAUUAGCCACAAGAUGGGUUCAGGGACCCUCUGGUCUCACUCUGAGACAGACCUGAGCUAAAACUCCAUUGAUCACCUGACCUCCAUAAGUUGUCCCCAAAAGGUUUAUUUCUUUGACCCUUCUGCAAAAACACCCUGGCAGAAGGCCGUUGGUUCCUUUGGGGAAGGCUGGGAGAAAGAUCUCACAGUAUAAGUUCUCAGUAGUGUAACAGAGUCCUUCCUCAAGGGAACUCAGCCUCCCCUUCACUCAAGGGGCUCUGGGUCUAUAAACUGGCUCAAGUCUGAGAAUUAAUUGAAGCGCCAUGCCUCUCUCUUUUUAUGAUUCAGGUUAGAUUUUUAUUCACUUGACCUAGAACUUUGUGCCAUCCAGAUCAAGUAAAAAUUUAGUAGGUUUCCUAUCUAUUUUAAUUCUAAGAACACCACGAUCAGCUCGCCAACGCCAUGGGUCUGGGUGACUCAGACUCUUCCGCUUGCAGCUUUGACUCUGCUGCCCAUUAUGCUGACCACACCCACCUCACAUUUGGUGGUCGAGUGCCACCACUGAGCCCCAGACACCCUGGGGUCUACUUGCUCCCAUUGCACUUAGGUUUCCCAGUUCUGUGACUGCAUUUCCUACCCAUUGCUGGCUGACAGAGAACAGUAAUCACAGAGCUCUUCAAGACUGCCAGGGCUCCCCUUGUAAGAUUUGUUUCUCAUAGUUGUGACGAAAGGUGUCUUCUGGGCCCCCGCUUCCCCACCCCCAGCGCCCUCCACCCCCUGGUGGCGUAGGUAAUUAGGUCUUAAAUGAAAAAUCUAAUCUAACAUUCCAGUUUCCCAAGCCUAUUUUUUCAUUUUUUAAAGUUUUAUUGAAGUACAGUUGAUCUACAAUGUUGUGAUAAGUUCUGCCAUACAACAAAAUUCAGUUACACACCAAUUUCUCUAAGCCUUUGAUUUCCUUCCUCUCCUAUUAAACUAAGGCAGGUCCAGUCCUCCAACUUAUUCACUGUGGGCGGCUUUUUCAUCCAUUUUUCAGUCAACCGCCAACCAAACUGUUGGAGACCUACUCAAUUCCCUAAGCUGCAGCAUUAAAUGCAGAAUAUCUGGCUAGUAGAGUUCCCAUCGUGGCUCAGUGGUUAACGAAUCCGACUAGGAACCAUGAGGUUGCAGGUUCGAUCCCUGGUCUUGCUUAGUGGGUUAAGGACCUGUUGUUGCCAUGAGCUGUGGUGUAGGUUGCAGACCUGGCUUGGAUCCUGCGUUGCUGUGGCUCUGAUGUAGGCCGGCGGCUACAGCUCCGAUUGGACCCCUAGCCUGGGAACCUCCAUAUGUAGCAGGUACGGCCCUAGAAAAUACAAAAAAAAAAAAAAAAA